AAUUCACCUUCUGACCCACCCACAGAGGGUCACCUUCACCUACCAAUCAAUGACAGAAUUUUGGGAGAAAGACUACAGUAUGUGAAGCUGUGCAGCUGUUUCAAUGAGUUACUGAUCCAUCUUCAUUCACUGAGUGAUGAUUGUAUGUGGAGCUUGACACAUAAAUACAGCUACAUUUCUUGUACUCUCCACAGAAAGAAAGAUUACCUACAGCCAUAAAAAGGGCUGGCUUCACAAGAGCAAAGCUGAGGGAAACAUGUAGAUGGCAAGAUGGUGGAGAGACCUCACAAGUUGGAGCCAUCUUUAUAAGAUAACACCUUGAUCCUGUAGCAGAAGUCUCAUUUUGGUGAAAAGUAGUAACGUCACUUGUUUAAA
Molecule: long non-coding RNA, 375 nt
Organism: Erinaceus europaeus (western European hedgehog)
Lineage: Eukaryota; Metazoa; Chordata; Mammalia; Eulipotyphla; Erinaceidae
Exons: 2
Source: RefSeq, a predicted model, not a curated record